AAGCGUGUAGGUGUGUGUUCCAGGUAAAUCCGGUUCACUUUAACACUGAGGCGUGAUGACGAGGCACUACGGUGCUGAAGCAACAAAUGCCCUGCUUCCAGGAAAAGCCUCUAAGCAUCAGGUAACAUCAAAUCGUACCCCAAACCGACACAGGUGGUCAGGUAGAGAAUACCAAGGCGCUUGAGAGAACUCGGGUGAAGGAACUAGGCAAAAUGGUGCCGUAACUUCGGGAGAAGGCACGCUGACACGUAGGUGA
Molecule: ribosomal RNA, 256 nt
Filed under: Salmonella enterica subsp. enterica serovar Muenchen
Lineage: Bacteria; Pseudomonadati; Pseudomonadota; Gammaproteobacteria; Enterobacterales; Enterobacteriaceae
Also listed under: 6 other names
Description: partial 23S ribosomal RNA
Rfam family: Bacterial large subunit ribosomal RNA
Source: RNAcentral